This is a long non-coding RNA of Gallus gallus (chicken), 3948 nucleotides long. RefSeq lists it as uncharacterized. The record is from RefSeq and is a predicted model, not a curated record. The transcript has 4 exons. NCBI's taxonomy places the organism in Eukaryota, Metazoa, Chordata, Aves, Galliformes, Phasianidae.
CCUCCUCGCUUCCCUUCCUGCGGUCCCAUCCCUCCCGCCGCCGCUGUCACGUCCCCUCCCGGCGCUGCGUGCGAGGGGAGAAGGCGGUCGGAGCCGGGGGCGGCUCUGCCCCCCCCCCCCCCCCCCCCCUACGGCGAAUGCCUUCCGAACCUGUUGCUCGAUCGAUUUAACCGCUAUUAAUUUAACUUUUUUCUUUGUUUUCCCUUCCAAACCGUAUUGCUCAACUGUAUCCUAAACGGAUUACACGGAGGGAGGGGUUGAAGCUGAAAACCUCAUUCAUCCUCACUGCAGUCCUAUUCAUGGCUGGAAUAGGUGUAGCAUAGAGACGGGAUCAAGAGACAGAGUCUGGUGUGGCACAGAUCUUCACGUCCCGCUCGUAUUACGGGGACAGAAGCACUUACAUCACACAGCAACUUUGUUUUAGCAAAUGACAUAAUGGGAGUGGUGAGUCUCUAACGUCUGCAGCUACGUCCUUCUUAGCCAUAAUGCUGUGUGACCACACUUUUAGGGCAAGAGGGGUAACGUAGGUCUCUGAAACUAAGCUUGUCUAUGAGGAAGGAAUUAAAACUGGGAGGAUAUGAUUAAUGCCAAUCCACACAUUGUUAAAGAAAACGUAUGUGUGUGUUUAAUGAGAAGCGUAUCACAUCUACGUUCAUAUGUUAUGUUAUGUCUACAUGGUUACCAUUAUCAAAUAAUCUUGUUUUCUAAUUGGGAUUUAUAAUCACCAGAAGUGGGGAAAAAGGAUUUCUUUGCUGCUACUGUCUACAAACGUGAAUGAUCCCUGGCUUUAGGAGCAUAAUCUCAAUGAACUAACCACUCAUUUUCUGACAAGACAAUGGAUUUGUCUGACAGAGGUCAGAAAAAGGGUAUUUUGGGGGGUGGGGGGGAGGCUUGAUGUAGAUGAUGAUUCAAUAAAUUAAUUACCACAGAGCAAAUUGAGGAGUGAAUCAUGAGCGUGUUAGCCUGAGUUGCAUGCUUUUAGCUUGAGGAUAUGGCUCCUGUGCAUUUUGCUUCUCUUUUUUGCUAUCACCCUUGAAUAUGUUAAUCCUCUGCCUAAAACACACACGCACACAUUCCUACUCCCUCACCAGGAACGGCACGGUUUGCAAUAUUGAAUUGAUUGCCUCAGGGAACAGAUCCGUGUUAGAGAUAACUGGCAGAGCACAAAGCCGUUUCCUACCUGCGCCUAUGGAGCGGCUGCUCAGGGUGAGGGGAAGGGGGAUGUUCUCGGGUGGAAACCAGGAGCAGCAGGACUGCCCUAACAGCAUCCAGAGUAGCUUUGCUGGCAGGAAAACGCAAAAGGAGCCUCUGUGAAGCUGAAGUGGCUGAACCCAUCCGGGCUGAAGGGCUCUUAUCUCACAUUUCUGAGGUAAGGAUUUACACACACGGUUUUAUUACAGGUCAGCUACUGUGCGGAACUUAUCAGAAAGAAAUGCAAGAAGCAAAUUGUUUGCAAUGAGUAUCUGUCUUCACAAUAAGAAAAUGACUGAUAAUAAAGAACUUUUUCAUACAACAGUGAAAAGCUAGAAAUUGAAUGUAGAUGUUUUCGAGUCAGACAUGAGACAUCUCAUAGUGGGCUUUCUUUAACGGUUGUCUGUACCAUGAAGGGGAGUGGUGGAUUCCUAUGUUUUGAAAUCCUCUGGAAGCUUUUUUGGAAGCUACGCUUUAGUUCAGUGGACUCGGUACAAAAAUAACUGGAUGAAUUUCCAUAACGAGGGUGUCAGACUGAGUGACGGAGCUGUUUGUUCUGUCCCUACGCUCCACAAAACUACCAACAACUGGACUGACAUGCCAGGCAGUGUCAGCCAUCCUGGAGCAUCAUCCUGGCCUCCAGCAAUGUGAUGUUUGGAUUGGCCUCUCAGCAGUGCUACCAAUUUGGGCGCUGCUAUCCUCCUCAGCUGCUACAUGGCAACCAAGACAUGGGGAUCUGGACCUUCAAAGUUUUACUGUCGACUGCUCAGAUCUAUAGGACAGGUCGUGAGACUUUUUGAAGAAGAGAGUGUACUUCAUCUUGAAGAAAGAAGAGAUUCUGUCACCAGCAACUUAUAAGUUUGGCUGGAGAAUUUCCAAGGAGCAAAAAGUUGAUGUCAAUAGUUAUAAUGUUGUACACUUUUCACAUUUUUCAUCCACAGAUCACAAACUGAUUUGCAAAUGUUAAGUACUUCUAUUUCAAAACAACCUUCUAUCUUUGGGACAUGCAUCUGAAUGUUUUAGAGUACUAAACGUAGAAAGGUGUUGUGACAGGUUAAAAGGACACUGCUGGGAGGUCUGAUCCAUUACUUAAUGCUGAAUUUAAGUUUUGGGGUUUGUUUGUUUGUUUGUUUGUUUGUUUUUUCCCCACAAGAAGAGUUUCCACAUCUGUAUGUCAUCUGCUCUAAUCACAGACCAGAGUGCUUCUCCUUUGCAGUACUCUCUUAUCUUUAUACUUUAAUGAAGAGGCUUUAUACAAACCUUUGGGAUUUUGUAAUAUUUGUGUCUCAUGGCUAGUGUGGUAUUCUUCCUCUUUCCAAUGUUUUGUUGUUUAUGCUCAAGACUAGAGUAUCCUAGGGGCCAGGUAAACAAUAGUACUGAGCAAUGGAAAACAUCUCAUUUUUCUUCAGACUGGUAACUACUGGCAAAUUCAACACUAAGCAGCAGACUGAAUUGCUAUUUAGUCUUUUCUAAAGUACAUAGUAAACUUGUAAAGCACAAACUGUCAUUACUUGAUAUAAGCAAUUAUCUACUCUCUUGACUUUAGUUGAUAUGAGUUGGGCAAACUCAUUUCCAUUGUACUCAUGCUACUUCCAGAUGAAGUCAUGAACUGUUACACAAAAGUACAAAAACAGUGUCCUUAAUGUUUCACUGGAUGUUGCUGCAUCUGCCAUAUAGACCUCCACACGCUGCUAAGGCAAGAAAAAGAGAUCACUUAAUGAUCACUUAAUUACUUGAUCACUUAAUGCCGAAUGCCAGUGUUUCAGGACUUAGGACUUGACAAGCUCCACUGUGAAGCAAGUGGGUAGAUUUCAAAACUUCAGACAAGCUGAGAUGGUUGAAGAUAAGUAAUAACAAAGAAUGAGUUAUGUUCAAAAUCUCACAAUUUAGGCAUGAGCAAGGGAUGGAAACAAAAAAACUGUAAGCAGAGGCAUAUGCACAAGAUGUUCUUUGUGAUUUGUCAAUGAUAUCACUGUGCAAAGAAGAGGGGAGGGCACACAAAGCAACACUCCCCAACGAUCAAGAAAGGGCCACUGAGCAGCAUGGUAUGAGAAAAGUACACUUCCUUCUCAUUUUCUUUGUUGUAGAAAGUUAUAUAUAUGUGAAAAUAUUUCCCUUCUCAAGACAGAUGAGCAUACUCCAAAUUUUGCUUCAGUGAAUUGAGAUAAUCUACAGUAGUACAAAAUGCCUGACUUAGUAGUAGUGCCUUAAAAACUGCCUUUAACUGUGGCAGUGUGAAAAUCCAUGCUUGCAGAAUUGCAUAGCUGAGAAAGGGAAGCACAGGCUAGGCCUAUGGCAUGCAUGAUUCUGGAAUGAAAGUAUAAAGUAUUUUUACUAGUAUUAUGAAAAAAGAAUUGCUCUGAAUUUUUACCCAUGGAUGAACUAAAUUUGAACUAAGCCUUUCUUCUGAGGCUCUCUGUGCUGUUAGACUUCUGUUUGUUUGUGAAGUUUACAUGCUUCCUGGGUUUGACCAAAGCCAGGGCUACAGAAAUAACUUAAGAAAUGUUAUCAGUCUGAUGUUUCUGAGCCAGCUAGGAUUAGAAAUGACUGGAAAUGUUAUGGAAGAGCCUGUUUUCAUGAGAUUUCUACCCAGAUAUCUAGACCAAAGGGAUUUCUAACUCUGUGAACUUACAGAACACCUUUUAGUGCUCUUUGAUGUAGACUCCUUGCUUCCUGUAGCAUAGAGAAAAAUCCCCGUGUUGUAUCUAUGCAAAUUACAGUAAAUACAUCAAUAAAAGCUCACAUUUUAAGACCUGA